Molecule: ribosomal RNA, 253 nt
Filed under: uncultured bacterium
Lineage: Bacteria
Description: partial 16S ribosomal RNA
Rfam family: Bacterial small subunit ribosomal RNA
Source: RNAcentral
UACAGAGGUCCCAAGCGUUGUUCGGAUUCAUUGGGCGUAAAGGGUGCGUAGGCGGCGCGGUAAGUCGGGUGUGAAAUCUUGGAGCUUAACUCCGAAACUGCAUUCGAUACUGCCGUGCUUGAGGACUGGAGAGGAGACUGGAAUUUACGGUGUAGCGGUGAAAUGCGUAGAUAUCGUAAGGAAGACCAGUGGCGAAGGCGAGUCUCUGGACAGCAACUGACGCUGAGGCACGAAGGCCAGGGGAGCAAACGGG